This 468-nucleotide ribosomal RNA is filed under the name uncultured bacterium. RNAcentral describes it as "partial 16S ribosomal RNA". It matches the Rfam family "Bacterial small subunit ribosomal RNA", at positions 28 to 507 of the family's 1533-position model. The record is from RNAcentral.
GACGAACGCUGGCGGCGUGCUUAACACACGCAAGUCGAACGGAAAGGCCCUGCUUUUGUGGGGUGCUCGAGUGGCGAACGGGUGAGUAACACGUGAGUAACCUGCCCUUGACUUUGGGAUAACUUCAGGAAACUGGGGCUAAUACCGGAUAGGAGCUCCUGCUGCAUGGUGGGGGUUGGAAAGUUUCGGCGGUUGGGGAUGGACUCGCGGCUUAUCAGCUUGUUGGUUGGGUAGUGGCUUACCAAGGCUUUGACGGGUAGCCGGCCUGAGAGGGUGACCGGCCACAUUGGGACUGGGAUACGGCCCAGACUCCUACGGGAGGCAGCAGUGGGGAAUAUUGCACAAUGGGCGGAAGCCUGAUGCAGCAACGCCGCGUGCGGGAUGACGGCCUUCGGGUUGUAAACCGCUUUCGCCUGUGACGAAGCGUGAGUGACGGUAAUGUGUAAAGAAGCACCGGCUAACUACGUG